GAUGAACGCUGGCGGCGUGCCUAAUACAUGCAAGUCGAGCGAACGGACGAGAAGCUUGCUUCUCUGAUGUUAGCGGCGGACGGGUGAGUAACACGUGGAUAACCUACCUAUAAGACUGGGAUAACUUCGGGAAACCGGAGCUAAUACCGGAUAAUAUUUUGAACCGCAUGGUUCAAAAGUGAAAGACGGUCUUGCUGUCACUUAUAGAUGGAUCCGCGCUGCAUUAGCUAGUUGGUAAGGUAACGGCUUACCAAGGCAACGAUGCAUAGCCGACCUGAGAGGGUGAUCGGCCACACUGGAACUGAGACACGGUCCAGACUCCUACGGGAGGCAGCAGUAGGGAAUCUUCCGCAAUGGGCGAAAGCCUGACGGAGCAACGCCGCGUGAGUGAUGAAGGCCUUCGGAUCGUAAAACUCUGUUAUUAGGGAAGAACAUAUGUGUAAGUAACUGUGCACAUCUUGACGGUACCUAAUCAGAAAGCCACGGCUAACUACGUGCCAGCAGCCGCGGUAAUACGUAGGUGGCAAGCGUUAUCCGGAAUUAUUGGGCGUAAAGCGCGCGUAGGCGGUUUUUUAAGUCUGAUGUGAAAGCCCACGGCUCAACCGUGGAGGGUCAUUGGAAACUGGAAAACUUGAGUGCAGAAGAGGAAAGUGGAAUUCCAUGUGUAGCGGUGAAAUGCGCAGAGAUAUGGAGGAACACCAGUGGCGAAGGCGACUUUCUGGUCUGUAACUGACGCUGAUGUGCGAAAGCGUGGGGAUCAAACAGGAUUAGAUACCCUGGUAGUCCACGCCGUAAACGAUGAGUGCUAAGUGUUAGGGGGUUUCCGCCCCUUAGUGCUGCAGCUAACGCAUUAAGCACUCCGCCUGGGGAGUACGACCGCAAGGUUGAAACUCAAAGGAAUUGACGGGGACCCGCACAAGCGGUGGAGCAUAUGGUUUAAUUCGAAGCAACGCGAAGAACCUUACCAAAUCUUGACAUCCUUUGACAACUCUAGAGAUAGAGCCUUCCCCUUCGGGGGACAAAGUGACAGGUGGUGCAUGGUUGUCGUCGGCUCGUGUCGUGAGAUGUUGGGUUAAGUCCCGCAACGAGCGCAACCCUUAAGCUUAGUUGCCAUCAUUAAGUUGGGCACUCUAAGUUGACUGCCGGUGACAAACCGGAGGAAGGUGGGGAUGACGUCAAAUCAUCAUGCCCCUUAUGAUUUGGGCUACACACGUGCUACAAUGGACAAUACAAAGGGCAGCGAAACCGCGAGGUCAAGCAAAUCCCAUAAAGUUGUUCUCAGUUCGGAUUGUAGUCUGCAACUCGACUACAUGAAGCUGGAAUCGCUAGUAAUCGUAGAUCAGCAUGCUACGGUGAAUACGUUCCCGGGUCU
Molecule: ribosomal RNA, 1372 nt
Filed under: uncultured bacterium
Lineage: Bacteria
Description: bacterial SSU rRNA
Rfam family: Bacterial small subunit ribosomal RNA
Source: RNAcentral